Molecule: long non-coding RNA, 1536 nt
Organism: Mesocricetus auratus (golden hamster)
Lineage: Eukaryota; Metazoa; Chordata; Mammalia; Rodentia; Cricetidae
Exons: 4
Source: RefSeq, a predicted model, not a curated record
ACACAUUGUGUCCACAGAUGGGCAUUCAUGUGGUGUUUGCUAAUUCUAUGGCAGAAUUAGCCAGACCCACAAGACAAAAGAUACCUGUCAGGUCACAAGAAGCCUUGGGAUCACCAUUGCCAGAACCAAGGUGUACGUGGGGAGGACAGAGGACAGUUUUGUGAAGCUGAGUCUCUCACCUUUAUGCUGGUUCUGGUGACCAGGUGGCCAGGCUUACACAGGAAUAUGGUUUGAGAUCAAUUUAGAGGAGAAAAAAAAUCUUUGGAGCUAAUGUCAUCAUUCUUCAUUCAAGGACCUGGGUCCUCUUCAAGAGAAGCAGCACCGCCGAGACUUCUAACCCCAAACGCCAACAAGUUCUGAAGAAUGCACAUUCAAUUUUUCUUGAAAAAGUGGUAUCUUCUUAUUUAGAAGUCUAAACAGUCCAUAAGAGAUUGAGGAAAUAUCUCCAUUCUUUCUCCUCAUUUUUCCCAUUAUGCCUUUGUCUAGAGAUGGUUCCUGUUAAUAAUAUUUUGGUAACAGUAACAACUACUCUUAUAUAAAAUGUUUGAUGGGAUUGUAUAAGGUUUUUCUUUCACAUGUUGCGAUUUUAUUUCCUAAGGGAUUUGCCAUUUUAAGAUGAUAGAUCUUUCUAGAAUGUUUUACCUAUUGUUACUAUUUUUAUUUAUUAGCAAAUGGUAGCUGUGCAUAAAUGACGUGUUCAUGGCAUUUUCAUGCUUGUACAUAAUGUGUUUUGAUCAUGCUCACCCUGCUGCUCUCUCUUGGCCCUCUCCCACCCCUGCCCAUCCGUCUCUUCACCGCCUUCUUCCUACUUUCCUGUUUUUACUUUUGUUCUCCCACGAGUUUAGUUGUGCACGGUGCAAUGCACAAUGAAAUGCAAUGGUGCAUGGUCAUGCUACCAGUGGCUAUAUUUUAAUGUCUCCUCUUUCUCCAUCAGUAAUUACCUACCUAGAUUUCAUUGAGCAUGUUAGGGCCUCAGGAGCCUCUUCUCCCUAGCAACGCUCAAUUGCCUAUAGGUCACCAGGGAUGGGCAUGGAACUUGUGACCGUCUCUCCCUUUCACGAGACAAUGCGGAUGGGCUCACUCUUGUGCAGGUCUUGUACUGGUAAUCAAAGUCACCGUGAGUUCAUGAGCUCAGUGGCCAUGCCAUGCCUGGAAGACAGCGUUCCUCGAUACGCCCCAUUCCUUCCUCUGGUUUGUACAUCCGUGCUCCCCACUCUUCCUACCUGUCCACACAGCUUCUUCAAUGCUCCCUGAGCCUGGGAAGAAAUGGUCUAGUGUAGUGAUAUUUUUGUUUGCAAUCUGAUCAAUAAAGCUUGCCUGAUGAUCAGAGCACAGAGCUAAACUACUGGUUAGCUACACACCUAGUUGAGAGCUAAGCCACUAGUUGGCAACACACAUGCUAAGACAAUAGUUAGCCACACACCUAAGCCACUAGUUAGCCAUAGAGGACAGGCAGUGGUGGCGCACGCCUUUAAUCCCAGCACUCGGGAGACAGAGGCAGGUGGAUCUCUGUAAGUUCAAGGCCAGCCUGGGCUA